UACAGAGGUCCCAAGCGUUGUUCGGAUUCGUUGGGCGUAAAGGGUGCGUAGGUGGCGCCGUAAGUCGGGUGUGAAAUCUCGGAGCUUAACUCCGAAACUGCAUUCGAUACUGCCGUGCUUGAGGACUGGAGAGGAGACUGGAAUUUACGGUGUAGCGGUGAAAUGCGUAGAUAUCGUAAGGAAGACCAGUGGCGAAGGCGGGUCUCUGGACAGUUCCUGACGCUGAGGCACGAAGGCCAGGGGAGCAAACGGG
Molecule: ribosomal RNA, 253 nt
Filed under: uncultured bacterium
Lineage: Bacteria
Description: partial 16S ribosomal RNA
Rfam family: Bacterial small subunit ribosomal RNA
Source: RNAcentral